AAUACUAUACUUCUAGGAGUAAUUUCUGUAGUGUCCAAACUAGACAAGUGUAUUUGAAAUUGGUUUGUCUUGCCAGCUGUGAGAAGACCUCAAAAGUGUUCUCAUGUGAGAGUGAACCAAGCAGGUAUUGUUGCUUUGAUGUUCUUGAUGUUUGCUUUCUUUCUAAAAGAAUGCAGAAUAGAUAAUCAAGCCUUCUUUUGGCAGC
Molecule: small nucleolar RNA, 205 nt
Organism: Heteronotia binoei (common prickly gecko)
Lineage: Eukaryota; Metazoa; Chordata; Lepidosauria; Squamata; Gekkonidae
Product: small nucleolar RNA U3
Exons: 1
Source: RefSeq, a predicted model, not a curated record